GACGAACGCUGGCGGCGCGCUUAACACAUGCAAGUCGAACGGAAAGGCCUGCUUUCCCUUGUGGAUUGCGGGUACUCGAGUGGCUAACGGGUGAGUAACACGUGAGUGAUCUGCCCCCAACUUUUGUAUAAGCCUGGGAAACUGUGUCUAAUUCCCGAUAGGACUGCAGGGUGGUGCCUUUGGUGGAAAACGAUUUUCUAGUGGUUGGGGAUGAGCUCGCGGCCUAUCAGCUUGUUGGUGGGGUAAUGGCCUACCAAGGCGGGGACGGGUAGCCGGCCUGAGAGGGUGGACGGGCACAGUGGGACAGAGAUACGGCCCAGACUCGUACGGGAGGCAGCAGUGGGGAAUAUUGGACAAGGGGCGGAAGCCUGAAGCAGCGACGCAGCGUGGGGGAUGACGGCAUUCGGGUUGUAAACUCCUUUCGACCGCGAGGAAGCCACCUGGUUGGAAGGGUGGUGACGGUAGUGGUAGAAGAAGCACCGGCUAACUACGUG
This 494-nucleotide ribosomal RNA is filed under the name uncultured bacterium. RNAcentral's name for it is "partial 16S ribosomal RNA". It matches the Rfam family "Bacterial small subunit ribosomal RNA", at positions 28 to 507 of the family's 1533-position model. The record is from RNAcentral.